AGCGGAGGAAAAGAAACCAACAGGGAUUGCCUCAGUAACGGCGAGUGAAGCGGCAAGAGCUCAAAUUUGAAAGCUGGCCCCUUCGGGGUCCGCGUUGUAAUUUGCAGAGGAUGCUUCGGGUGCAGCCCCCGUCUAAGUGCCCUGGAACGGGCCGUCAUAGAGGGUGAGAAUCCCGUCUGGGACGGGGUGUCUGCGUCCGUGUGAAGCUCCUUCGACGAGUCGAGUUGUUUGGGAAUGCAGCUCUAAAUGGGUGGUAAAUUUCAUCUAAAGCUAAAUACUGGCCGGAGACCGAUAGCGCACAAGUAGAGUGAUCGAAAGAUGAAAAGCACUUUGAAAAGAGAGUUAAACAGCACGUGAAAUUGUUGAAAGGGAAGCGUUUGCGACCAGACUCGCCCGCGGGGUUCAGCCGGCAUUCGUGCCGGUGUACUUCCCCGUGGGCGGGCCAGCGUCGGUUUGGGCGGCCGGUCAAAGGCCCUCGGAAUGUAUCACCUCUCGGGGUGUCUUAUAGCCGAGGGUGCAAUGCGGCCUGCCUGGACCGAGGAACGCGCUUCGGCUCGGACGCUGGCGUAAU
This 571-nucleotide ribosomal RNA is filed under the name Aspergillus fumigatus. RNAcentral's name for it is "partial large subunit ribosomal RNA". It matches the Rfam family "Eukaryotic large subunit ribosomal RNA", at positions 49 to 635 of the family's 3401-position model. Lineage: Eukaryota; Fungi; Ascomycota; Eurotiomycetes; Eurotiales; Aspergillaceae. The record is from RNAcentral.